GGACCGGUGUCCGAGUGGCUUAAGGAGCACGAUUGGAAAUCGUGUGGGGUGAAUAGCCCUCGUGGGUUCGAAUCCCACCCGGUCCG
This 86-nucleotide transfer RNA is filed under the name Longimicrobium sp. RNAcentral's name for it is "tRNA-Ser". It matches the Rfam family "tRNA". From Rfam's summary of the family: Transfer RNA (tRNA) molecules are approximately 80 nucleotides in length. Their secondary structure includes four short double-helical elements and three loops (D, anti-codon, and T loops). The record is from RNAcentral. Lineage: Bacteria; Pseudomonadati; Gemmatimonadota; Longimicrobiia; Longimicrobiales; Longimicrobiaceae. RNAcentral also lists the same sequence under 3 other names.